UACGAAGGGGGCUAGCGUUGCUCGGAAUCACUGGGCGUAAAGCGCACGUAGGCGGCUUCUUAAGUCAGGGGUGAAAUCCUGGGGCUCAACCCCAGAACUGCCCUUGAUACUGAGGAGCUUGAGUCCGGGAGAGGUGAGUGGAACUCCGAGUGUAGAGGUGAAAUUCGUAGAUAUUCGGAAGAACACCAGUGGCGAAGGCGGCUCACUGGACAAGUAUUGACGCUGAGGUGCGAAAGCGUGGGGAGCAAACAGG
Molecule: ribosomal RNA, 253 nt
Filed under: uncultured bacterium
Lineage: Bacteria
Description: partial 16S ribosomal RNA
Rfam family: Bacterial small subunit ribosomal RNA
Source: RNAcentral